This is a non-coding RNA of Heterocephalus glaber (naked mole-rat), 1018 nucleotides long. The record is from RefSeq and is a predicted model, not a curated record. Lineage: Eukaryota; Metazoa; Chordata; Mammalia; Rodentia; Bathyergidae.
CAAACUCGGGUUCUUCCACUUGCAGGGCAGGUGGCAGAACCACUGAGCUAAAUCCCUGGCCCUCGCCUACUUUCUAUAGUAGUGUACCUCAAACAUAACUAUACAAUACCAGGGUUGUUCUUGUUAAAAUGCUAGUUUGGUUUUUGGUGUAGUUUUUUUGCUACUGGGGAUUGAACUCGGGACCUUGCGCUUCCAAGGCAGGUGGUGGAACCACUGAGCUAAAUCCCUGGCCUUAAAAUGCCAGUUUUAUUUCAGCCAGUCUGGGGUGGGGCCUAAGAUGCAAUUCCAACAAUCCUUUGUGGCAUUAUUGCUGAUCUUGUAGAUCCACACAUCAAGUGACAAGGUCCUGUAGGACUCCUUUCAAAUUCCUAAAACCACCAGUAUCUGCUAAAUUGAUACUAAGUGUUCUGUGGGUAAAUACACCCCCCCAACUCUCCACCCCCAUGCCAGAGAUAGAGAUGGCUUAUCCUUUAAAGAUAACUUAGGUUUGGUUUCUGGGUCCUUCACUGAUUCAGUGUCUUGGCUUCUUUAAUUUGCAUCUGCCGUAUUCCAUAAGGAUAGAUAGUAUUUUAAACAUAGUAGGUGCAGUAGGUAUUUGCUAGUUACCUUGUUACUUGUAAGGGAUCCAUAUAAAGGUUUGUUUCUAUUGCUGGGUGUGCUUUUAAGAAUAGUAAUGAAGUUUCGUUAUUGUUAGAAGGCUUGGCCAACAGGGCAGCUAAGGAGAAGUGGUAACAUUCAGUUUGUUUAUUUGCCCUUUAAAAUUUUUUUUUUUUUGGUUCCCAAAGGAAAUCUGAAAUAGAGUACUAUGCCAUGUUGGCCAAAACUGGUGUCCAUCACUACAGUGGCAAUAAUAUCGAACUGGGCACAGCAUGUGGAAAAUACUACAGAGUAUGCACAUUGGCCAUCAUUGAUCCAGGUGAUUCUGAUAUCAUUAGAAGCAUGCCAGAACAGACCGGUGAAAAAUAAACCAUGCAAAAUUUUUCAUUAAUAAAACUUGCCAGAGCUUGUUUUAAAAACA